RNAcentral lists this ribosomal RNA (446 nucleotides) under uncultured bacterium. Its description in RNAcentral is "partial 16S ribosomal RNA". It matches the Rfam family "Bacterial small subunit ribosomal RNA", at positions 338 to 795 of the family's 1533-position model. The record is from RNAcentral.
CCUACGGGUGGCAGCAGUCGAGAAUCAUUCACAAUGGGGGAAACCCUGAUGGUGCGACGCCGCGUGGGGGAAUGAAGGUCUUCGGAUUGUAAACCCCUGUCAUGUGGGAGCAAAUUAAAAAGAUAGUACCACAAGAGGAAGAGACGGCUAACUCUGUGCCAGCAGCCGCGGUAAUACAGAGGUCUCAAGCGUUGUUCGGAAUCACUGGGCGUAAAGCGUGCGUAGGCUGUUUCGUAAGUCGUGUGUGAAAGGCGCGGGCUCAACCCGCGGACGGCACAUGAUACUGCGACACUAGAGGAAUGGAGGGGGAACCGGAAUUCUCGGUGUAGCAGUGAAAUGCGUAGAUAGCGAGAGGAACACUCGUGGCGAAGGCGGGUUCCUGGACAUUAACUGACGCUGAGGCACGAAGGCCAGGGGAGCGAAAGGGAUUAGAUACCCGAGUAGUC